Molecule: ribosomal RNA, 797 nt
Filed under: uncultured bacterium
Lineage: Bacteria
Description: bacterial SSU rRNA
Rfam family: Bacterial small subunit ribosomal RNA
Source: RNAcentral
AGAGUUUGAUCAUGGCUCAGAACGAACGCUGGCGGCGCGUCUUAAGCAUGCAAGUCGGACGGCAAGGGCAGCAAUGCCCCUAGAGUGGCGGACUGGUGAGUAACACGUGGGUGACCUACCCUUGAGAUGGGGAUAGCCAUUAGAAAUAGUGGAUAAUACCGAAUACGAUCGCUGUCCCUGUGGGGAUGCGAUGAAAGGAGCUACGGCUCCACUCGAGGAUGGGCCCGCGUCCCAUUAGCUAGUUGGUGAGGUAAAGGCCCACCAAGGCGACGAUGGGUAUCCGGCCUGAGAGGGUGUACGGACACAUUGGGACUGAGAUACGGCCUAAACUCCUACGGGAGGCAGCAGCUAAGAAUAUUCCGCAAUGGACGAAAGUCUGACGGAGCGACGCCGCGUGGAUGAAGAAGGCCGAAAGGUUGUAAAAUCCUUUUGCCGGUGAAGAAUAAGUAUGGUAGGGAAUGACCGUAUGAUGACAUUAGUCGGUGAAUAAGCCCCGGCUAACUACGUGCCAGCAGCCGCGGUAACACGUAGGGGGCAAGCGUUGUUCGGAAUUAUUGGGCGUAAAGGGCAUGUAGGCGGUUUUGUAAGCCUGGUGUGAAAUCCUGCAGCUUAACUGUAGAAUUGCAUUGGGUACUGCAAGACUUGAAUCACAGAGGGGAAACUAGAAUUCCAGGUGUAGGGGUGGAAUCUGUAGAUAUCUGGAAGAAUACCGGUGGCGAAGGCGGGUUUCUAGCUGAUGAUUGACGCUGAGGUGCGAAAGUGCGGGGAGCAAACAGGAUUAGAUACCCUAGUAGUCC